Non-coding RNA from Delphinapterus leucas (beluga whale), 585 nucleotides. The record is from RefSeq and is a predicted model, not a curated record. NCBI's taxonomy places the organism in Eukaryota, Metazoa, Chordata, Mammalia, Artiodactyla, Monodontidae.
AGCUCCCUGGCGCGGGAGGUAGUUCACCGAAGCCUGGGAGUAGGGAAAGCGAGAGGGGUUUGAACUGGAAGAUGUCUGCGGGCCCUCUGAAGCCUGACACUGCACAUCCCCGCAGCUCCAGGCGAGACGUUAUUCCGGCAGCUUUCUGUUUAUUUAGGAAGGUGACCGGCUGGAGCGCUCGCAACAGACUGGUGUUUCCCUGGCCUGUCAGCAAGCGGUUUACUCACUUUCCCAGGCAAACCGGAAGGCGGACAGCGCCAGCAGGGAUGCACUGGGAUAGAGGAGGAAAAGCAGCCUGGAGGCCCAUGGCUCCAGCCAGAAACAGAGCUGUCUUGAGAGGGGCCGUUCCCUCAUCUUCCCCACCACCAAAACCCGAGGCAAUGGCAGAGUUCUGUGUGGACAUGGCCGGGUGAGGCCAUCUCAGUUUUUCUUAAAUUAGUGUGCUGUGUGUAUCCUGGACUCUCUUCUCAACUGUGUUGUAAACUAUUCAAGGUCAAAGCUGGUUUUUCUCUUCCUGUUCCUAGCAUCUGGCAUAGGCAGGUGUGAUUAUCUUCAGUCAAAUGAAUAAAUAACGCAAAACACUGG